ACUCUUACGGGAGGCAGCAGUGGGGAAUAUUGCGCAAUGGGGGAAACCCUGACGCAGCAACGCCGCGUGAGUGACGAAGGCCUUCGGGUCGUAAAGCUCUGUCGUAGGGGACGAAGCUCUGACGGUACCCCGCAAGUAAGCCACGGCUAACUCCGUGCCAGCAGCCGCGGUAAU
Molecule: ribosomal RNA, 174 nt
Filed under: uncultured bacterium
Lineage: Bacteria
Description: partial 16S ribosomal RNA
Rfam family: Bacterial small subunit ribosomal RNA
Source: RNAcentral